RNAcentral lists this ribosomal RNA (253 nucleotides) under uncultured bacterium. RNAcentral describes it as "partial 16S ribosomal RNA". It matches the Rfam family "Bacterial small subunit ribosomal RNA", at positions 524 to 776 of the family's 1533-position model. The record is from RNAcentral.
GACGAAGGUGGCGAGCGUUGUUCGGAAUCACUGGGCAUAAAGCGCACGUAGGCGGUGCCGUAAGUCGGAUGUGAAAUCCCUCGGCCUAACCGAGGAACUGCGUCCGAUACUGCGGUGCUUGAGGAUCAGAGGGGUGCAUGGAAUUUCCGGUGGAGCGGUGAAAUGCGUUGAUAUCGGAAGGAACUCCGGUGGCGAAAGCGGACCGCUGGCCCUCUUAUGACGCUGAGGCGCGAAAGCCAGGGGAGCGAACGGG